UUCCAUGCCCUUCGGGGUAGACCUCCCACCCUUGUGUAUUAUAACAAAUUGUUGCCUUGGCGGGCUGCGGCUCUGCUGCCCGGGACUCGUCCCGGUAUGCCCGCCGAAGGACCCCUAAACUCUGUUUAUUAGUGUCGUCUGAGUACUAUAUAAUAGUUAAAACUUUCAACAACGGAUCUCUUGGUUCUGGCAUCGAUGAAGAACGCAGCGAAAUGCGAUAAGUAAUGUGAAUUGCAGAAUUCAGUGAAUCAUCGAAUCUUUGAACGCACAUUGCGCCCCUUGGCAUUCCGGGGGGCAUGCCUGUUCGAGCGUCAUUAUGACCAAUCUAGCCUGGCUAGGUAUUGGGCUUCGCGGUUCCGCGGGCCUUAAAACCAGUGGCGGUGCUCUCAGGCUCUACGCGUAGUAACUUUCUCGCUUUGGAGCCCUGGGAGAUGCUUGCCAUCAACCUCAACUUUCUUAGGUUGACCUCGGAUCAGGUAGGGAUACCCGCUGAACUUAAGCAUAUCAAUAA
RNAcentral lists this small RNA (511 nucleotides) under Erioscyphella abnormis. RNAcentral's name for it is "partial contains 18S rRNA, ITS1, 5.8S rRNA, ITS2, 28S rRNA". The stretch from base 161 to 314 matches the Rfam family "5.8S ribosomal RNA". Lineage: Eukaryota; Fungi; Ascomycota; Leotiomycetes; Helotiales; Lachnaceae. The record is from RNAcentral.